GGGUACUUCAAGCUGGUAGUAGCCCCUCUUGUUCCCAUACCUAAGAUGAUUACGCUCCAGCAUUUCAGCUCACUUGUAACUCUUUAUGGCUGCAGGAUUUACUUUGAUUUUUCAGCUAACUACUGACUUCCUUCCCCUCCAUGCGUAAUUUUCUACCAUUGGUUUCAAAGUCAAAUUGCCUCAGUUCAGUUACUUGCCAUACCAUCUUUUAUUUUCUAGUAAAGAAACACUGCGUAUUUAAUUAUUUGCGGCUCGUCAGAAACGUGAGAAGAAUGCUACUUUCUCGGACUUAAGGAAGGAGGAGUUGUGGCUAUAGAAUGAUGGCUCAGAGAUGCUUGUUGACUAUCAAAAUGACCCUGUACUAGACAGUGGCACUUCUGUGGAAGAGUGGUAGGAAGAAGCUGGAUAGUUUUACUCUGCCUCUUAAGUGACUAUUUGUCCAGCCAACAAAGGUAGUUGCUUGUGCUAUCACCAUAUUAAGUUGAAAUGACCAAACUACAAUGAUCUGUUGAAUUUUGUAUACUUUUAUAUUUAUACCCUGGUAUAUCGUUAUCACUCUACCUCAAUCCCUCCCAAAUAUCAUGAUUUUCAUUAAUUUUUCUUUUCUUGUAGGAAAAUCCAGAAGAUGCAGAAUUGUCAGCAGUGAAUUUACUUAUUUGUUUAGUUGCCAGGUAUUUUGAACAGAGCGAUCUUGCAGAUAAUGAUUAACAUGACUGCAGUCUGGAAUAAGAAUUCUACUAUAAUUUUCAACUUGCUUAUUUCAUUAUCCUUUUUUAAAAUGUGGAUCUUUCUAUUUUGAUGGACAAACAAUGUCUGAAAUUUGAGGAUAUUAAACAAACUGCAGUGACAUUUAAAACUGAAGAUAAAGUGCACAGAUGAAAAACAGUGCCAAAUAACUGUUUUGAAUAAAUAGUCUGACUAGUUUUGGAAUGGUUUGUUAUUGAUUUGAUUUAAUUAUCAAUCUACUUUUUGCAAAAAAAAAACCCUGUAUACCAAGUUAUUUACUGAAACAAUGAAGCCACGAAAUUCCAAAGUUUAAACAAAACUUUUUAACCAUGUAAGAGUCAAGAAUGGUUAGAAAUAUCUUAAGCUCACUGCUUAUGUGGAUUCUAGCUAACUGGUUCUGAAAGAUUAAUCCUGAUAAUUGGUCAGAAUACCAUUGCUUGUGAGAUGUCAGUUGUAAAAUAAGCUGUGAGGCAGCAGUGCUAACCUAAAUCAGCACUAGGGAGUUGUGUUCAAUUCCAGCCUCGGGUGACUGUGCAAACUCCACACCGACAUUCUCCCCCUGUCUACAUGGGUUUCCUCUGGGUGCUCUGGUUUCCUCCCACAGAUGUGCAGGUUAAUUGGAGGAGGCAUGCUAAAUUUCCCAUAGCAUCCAGGGGUGUGCAGGCUAGGCUGGUUAGCAGGGUUACAGGGAUAGGAUAGGGGAAUGGAUCUGGGUGGGAUGCUUUUCUGAAGGUUAGUGUGGACUUGAUGGGCUGAAUGGCCUGCUUCCCCACUAGGGAUUCUGUAAUUCUAGAUAACAAUGGAGUUUUGGCCAACUAUCUGAAAUUCUACAGAAGAUUGUGCCUAGAGGAUGAAAAAAAAAACAUGCAAUGGACCAGUCUUUUUUUUUCAAAUUCUACAGUAGUCUUCAUUCAUGUAUUUGUAUUAUGGCAUGAUCCUUCCUUAGACUGGAUAGCUAAUUAAAAAGUCUACAUAAGGUGUCAAUUUUUUUUCCUCAAAUUCCCCAUAUCCACACUUACAUCAGAAACUAAUCUACCUAUGUAAAUUUCAUUAACUGCAUCCUUUGAUCAGUGGAUGUUGCAGUUACCACAAGCAGGAGAAUACAACCAUUGUGACAAGGCUGGAUUACAAAUAUGGACAAGAGAAUUUAUAAUAAAACAAAAAUACAUUUAAAAUGGGAAACAAGUUGCUUACAGCUUUAAUCUAAUUGCUAUUCAAGCCUGUUACUGUUAUAUUUAGCUCUGAUGUGCAAUGCCAUAUUAAAAAUAGUACUUGUCAAA
Molecule: long non-coding RNA, 2006 nt
Organism: Rhincodon typus (whale shark)
Lineage: Eukaryota; Metazoa; Chordata; Chondrichthyes; Orectolobiformes; Rhincodontidae
Exons: 2
Source: RefSeq, a predicted model, not a curated record